Molecule: ribosomal RNA, 305 nt
Filed under: uncultured bacterium
Lineage: Bacteria
Description: bacterial SSU rRNA
Rfam family: Bacterial small subunit ribosomal RNA
Source: RNAcentral
AUGGCCUACGGGGCGCAGCAGUGAGGAAUAUUGGUCAAUGGCCGGGAGGCUGAACCAGCCAAGUCGCGUGAGGGAAGACGGCCCUACGGGUUGUAAACCUCUUUUGUCAGGGAGCAAGGUGCAGGUCGGGACCUGCUGUGAGAGUACCUGAAGAAAAAGCAUCGGCUAACUCCGUGCCAGCAGCCGCGGUAAUACGGAGGAUGCGAGCGUUAUCCGGGUUUAUUGGGUUUAAAGGGUGCGUAGGCGGUUUGUCAAGUCAGCGGUAAAAAUUCCGGGCUCAACCCGGUCCCGCCGUUGAAACUGGC